CCUACGGGGGCUGCAGUGGGGAAUAUUGGACAAUGGGCGAAAGCCUGAUCCAGCCAUGCCGCGUGUGUGAAGAAGGCCUUCGGGUUGUAAAGCACUUUCAGUGGGGAAGAAAGCCUUGGGGCUAAUACCCUCGAGGAAGGACAUCACCCACAGAAGAAGCACCGGCUAACUCCGUGCCAGCAGCCGCGGUAAUACGGAGGGUGCGAGCGUUAAUCGGAAUUACUGGGCGUAAAGCGCGCGUAGGCGGUCUGAUAAGCCGGUUGUGAAAGCCCCGGGCUCAACCUGGGAACGACAUCCGGAACUGUCAGGCUAGAGUGCAGGAGAGGAAGGUAGAAUUCCCGGUGUAGCGGUGAAAUGCGUAGAGAUCGGGAGGAAUACCAGUGGCGAAGGCGGCCUUCUGGACUGACACUGACGCUGAGGUGCGAAAGCGUGGGUAGCAAACAGGAUUAGAUACCCUAGUAGUC
This 464-nucleotide ribosomal RNA is filed under the name Vreelandella stevensii. RNAcentral describes it as "partial 16S ribosomal RNA". It matches the Rfam family "Bacterial small subunit ribosomal RNA", at positions 338 to 795 of the family's 1533-position model. Lineage: Bacteria; Pseudomonadati; Pseudomonadota; Gammaproteobacteria; Oceanospirillales; Halomonadaceae. The record is from RNAcentral.